CGCCUGUAGACUAGCCCAAUUACAGGUACAUCCUGCCCGGUGAUCUAUUUAAACGGCUGCGGUAUCCUGACCGUGCAAAGGUAGCAUAAUCAUUUGCCCCCUAAUUAGGGGCUAGCAUGAAUGGACAAACGAGAUUAUUCCUGUCUCUUUUAAACACAUAAAAAUUAAUCUGCAGGUGAAGAAGCCUGCAUAAAUAUAAAAGACAAGAAGACCCUGUCGAGCUUUAAUUAUCUAUAACACAAAGUAAUUCUAAAUACCCUCUUUUAUAGAUAAUAUUUGUUGGGGCGACAACGGAAAACAAAAAACCUCCGAAAAUCAUCAGACCUUAAGUCUCCCAAAAGGAUCCCCUAAAGGACACCUAGCAACAGCUACCGCAGGGAUAACAGACUAAUCCUCCUCAAGAGCCCAAAUCUACAGGAGGGCUUGGCACCUCGAUGUUGGCUUAGGAUUACACUUAAAUGCAGAAGUUUAAGAUGUAGGUUUGUUCAACCUUUAAUUUCCU
This 502-nucleotide ribosomal RNA is filed under the name Palola viridis. RNAcentral's name for it is "partial 16S ribosomal RNA". It matches the Rfam family "Bacterial large subunit ribosomal RNA", at positions 1816 to 2597 of the family's 2925-position model. Lineage: Eukaryota; Metazoa; Annelida; Polychaeta; Eunicida; Eunicidae. The record is from RNAcentral.